CCUACGGGGGGCUGCAGUGGGGAAUAUUGGACAAUGGGGGCAACCCUGAUCCAGCCAUGCCGCGUGUGUGAAGAAGGACCUCGGGUUGUAAAGCACUUUCAGUGAGGAAGAACGCCUGGUGGUUAAUACCCAUCAGGAAAGACAUCACUCACAGAAGAAGCACCGGCUAACUCCGUGCCAGCAGCCGCGGUAAUACGGAGGGUGCGAGCGUUAAUCGGAAUUACUGGGCGUAAAGCGCGCGUAGGUGGCUUGAUAAGCCGGUUGUGAAAGCCCCGGGCUCAACCUGGGAACGGCAUCCGGAACUGUCAAGCUAGAGUGCAGGAGAGGAAGGUAGAAUUCCCGGUGUAGCGGUGAAAUGCGUAGAGAUCGGGAGGAAUACCAGUGGCGAAGGCGGCCUUCUGGACUGACACUGACACUGAGGUGCGAAAGCGUGGGUAGCAAACAGGAUUAGAUACCCCAGUAGUC
This 465-nucleotide ribosomal RNA is filed under the name Vreelandella stevensii. RNAcentral's name for it is "partial 16S ribosomal RNA". It matches the Rfam family "Bacterial small subunit ribosomal RNA", at positions 338 to 795 of the family's 1533-position model. The record is from RNAcentral. Lineage: Bacteria; Pseudomonadati; Pseudomonadota; Gammaproteobacteria; Oceanospirillales; Halomonadaceae.